UGAGUAACACGUGAGUGACCUGCCUUUUAGACUGGAACAACUUACCGAAAGGUGAGCUAAUGCCGGAUGAGUUAUAUAAGUGCAUGUUUAUAUAGGAAAAGUUGGGGAGACCUGACGCUGAAAGAUGGACUCGCGUCCCAUUAGCUAGUUGGUAGGGUAAUGGCCUACCAAGGCGACGAUGGGUAGCCGGCCUGAAAGGGUGGCCGGCCACACUGGGACUGAGACACGGCCCAGACUCCUACGGGAGGCAGCAG
RNAcentral lists this ribosomal RNA (254 nucleotides) under uncultured bacterium. RNAcentral describes it as "partial 16S ribosomal RNA". It matches the Rfam family "Bacterial small subunit ribosomal RNA", at positions 107 to 354 of the family's 1533-position model. The record is from RNAcentral.